AAGUCGUAACAAGGUUUCCGUAGGUGAACCUGCGGAAGGAUCAUUAACGAGUUAGGGUUCUUCUCGAGCCCGACCUCCCAACCCUUUGUCUACCUGACCUCUUGUUGCUUCGGCGGACCCGUCUUAACCGACCGCCGGGGGACCGUCGAACGUCCCCUGGCCCGCGUCCGUCGAUGGCCAUUCCAUUCAAAACUCCGAAUAAAUCGUGUCAUUUGUCUGAGUAAUUAACAAAAUUAAAGCAAAACUUUCAACAACGGAUCUCUUGGUUCUG
This 271-nucleotide unclassified non-coding RNA is filed under the name fungal sp. RNAcentral's name for it is "partial internal transcribed spacer region". The stretch from base 1 to 46 matches the Rfam family "Eukaryotic small subunit ribosomal RNA", at positions 1786 to 1831 of the family's 1831-position model. Lineage: Eukaryota; Fungi. The record is from RNAcentral.